CCUACGGGCGGCAGCAGUGAGGAAUAUUGGUCAAUGGACGAGAGUCUGAACCAGCCAAGUAGCGUGAAGGAUGACUGUCCUAUGGAUUGUAAACUUCUUUUAUAAAGGAAUAAAACGAGGCACGUGUGCCUGUUUGCAUGUACUUUAUGAAUAAGGAUCGUCUAACUCCGUGCCAGCAGCCGCGGUAAUACGGAGGAUCCGAGCGUUAUCCGGAUUUAUUGGGUUUAAAGGGAGCGUAGAUGGGUUUUUAAGUCAGUGGUGAAAGUUUGGGGCUCAACCGUAAACUUGCAAUUGAUACUGACAGUCUUGAGUAGAGUUGAGGUAGGCGGAAUUCGUGGUGUAGCGGUGAAAUGCAUAGAUAUCACGAAGAACUCCGAUUGCGAAGGCAGCAUACUAACCUGUGACUGACAUUGAUGCUCGAAAGUGUGGGUAUCAAACAGGAUUAGAUACCCUGGUAGUC
This 460-nucleotide ribosomal RNA is filed under the name uncultured bacterium. Its description in RNAcentral is "partial 16S ribosomal RNA". It matches the Rfam family "Bacterial small subunit ribosomal RNA", at positions 338 to 795 of the family's 1533-position model. The record is from RNAcentral.